GACGAACGCUGGCGGCGUGCUUAACACAUGCAAGUCGAACGGAAAGGCCCUGCUUUUGUGGGGUGCUCGAGUGGCGAACGGGUGAGUAACACGUGAGUAACCUGCCCUUGACUUUGGGAUAACUUCAGGAAACUGGGGCUAAUACCGGAUAGGAGCUCCUGCUGCAUGGUGGGGGUUGGAAAGUUUCGGCGGUUGGGGCUGGACUCGCGGCUUAUCAGCUGGUUGGUGGGGUAGUGGCUUACCAAGGCUUUGACGGGUAGCCGGCCUGAGAGGGUGACCGGCCACAUUGGGACUGAGAUACGGCCCAGACUCCUACGGGAGGCAGAAGUGGGGAAUAUUGCACAAUGGGCGGAAGCCUGAUGCAGCAACGCCGCGUGCGGGAUGACGGCCUUCGGGUUGUAAACCGCUUUCGCCUGUGACGAAGCGUGAGUGACGGUAAUGGGUAAAGAAGCACCGGCUAACUACGUG
Molecule: ribosomal RNA, 468 nt
Filed under: uncultured bacterium
Lineage: Bacteria
Description: partial 16S ribosomal RNA
Rfam family: Bacterial small subunit ribosomal RNA
Source: RNAcentral